This 497-nucleotide ribosomal RNA is filed under the name uncultured bacterium. RNAcentral's name for it is "partial 16S ribosomal RNA". It matches the Rfam family "Bacterial small subunit ribosomal RNA", at positions 28 to 507 of the family's 1533-position model. The record is from RNAcentral.
GAUGAACGCUGGCGGCGUGCCUAAUACAUGCAAGUCGAGCGAACAGACGAGGAGCUUGCUCCUCUGACGUUAGCGGCGGACGGGUGAGUAACACGUGGAUAACCUACCUAUAAGACUGGGAUAAUUUCGGGAAACCGGAGCUAUUCCCGGAAAAUUUUUUGAACCCCAUGGUUCAUUAUUAAAAAACGGUUUUGUUUUCACUUUUAGAUGAUUCCGCGCCGCAUUGGCUGGUUGGUAAGGUAACGGCUUACCAAGGCAACGAUGCUUAGCCGACCUGAGAGGGUGAUCGGCCACACUGGAACUGAGACACGGUCCAGACUCCUACGGGAGGCAGCAGUAGGGAAUCUUCCGCAAUGGGCGAAAGCCUGACGGAGCAACGCCGCGUGAGUGAUGAAGGUCUUCGGAUCGUAAAACUCUGUUAUUAGGGAAGAACAAAUGUGUAAGUAACUAUGCACGUCUUGACGGUACCUAAUCAGAAAGCCACGGCUAACUACGUG